CAGGUCUUGACAUCCUCUNNCCACUCUAGANAUAGAGCUUUCCCCUUCGGGGGACAGAGUGACAGGUGGUGCAUGGUUGUCGUCAGCUCGUGUCGUGAGAUGUUGGGUUAAGUCCCGCAACGAGCGCAACCCUUGACCUUAGUUGCCAGCAUUCAGUUGGGCACUCUAAGGUGACUGCCGGUGACAAACCGGAGGAAGGUGGGGAUGACGUCAAAUCAUCAUGCCCCUUAUGACCUGGGCUACACACGUGCUACAAUGGAUGGUACAAAGGGUUGCGAAGCCGCGAGGCCAAGCCAAUCCCAAAAAGCCAUUCUCAGUUCGGAUUGUAGGCUGCAACUCGCCUACAUGAAGCCGGAAUUGCUAGUAAUCGCGGAUCAGCAUGCCGCGGUGAAUACGUUCCCGGGCCUUGUACACACCGCCCNUC
RNAcentral lists this ribosomal RNA (424 nucleotides) under Fictibacillus barbaricus. Its description in RNAcentral is "bacterial SSU rRNA". It matches the Rfam family "Bacterial small subunit ribosomal RNA", at positions 975 to 1398 of the family's 1533-position model. Lineage: Bacteria; Bacillati; Bacillota; Bacilli; Caryophanales; Fictibacillaceae. The record is from RNAcentral.